UUUUUCAGGGGAAGGGUGGGGGGCGUUCUGUUGCAUUUUAAUGUCGGGGGAGCUGGGAGGAGGUGGCUGGGAGGUGUAGUCGCAGUUAGUUUGGGGUUGUCCGUGUGCACUGUCAUUAAUUUGCAGUGGAUGGAUCCUGUGCUUGCUCGGGUAAAAAAAAGAAGAAGUCGUAGAUCUUUUACGGAAGUUCACGAAACUUUCCGGUAAAACGGAAGAGUCCGUAGAUUUUCUCUACUAUUUACGGACAUUCCUUCAACUCUAAAACGGAAAAUUCCGUUUUUCCACAAUACAAUUUCUAUGAAUAGAAAAACUGAAAGUCGUGUUUAUCAUUUACAGACACUGGUUUUCACUGUAACUCAUUAAAUGUAUUUCUUUAUAUCCUUAUUAUUCUGCCCCUCAGGUUAAUUCUGAGGUAUGUUUUAUAUAAGUUUGUUAUAUGAUGGGUCACAAUCGUUCUGUAAUUAAUUGUAGCAACGUGUCAGUAAAUGUGUUUAUUCCUGAUCUUCUCUGGGCGAAGCCUGCCAUCUAGUGGGCUGACAGGGUAGCGCCAUGUAAGAGCUCAAGCAGUGGUUUUCUCCCAGCGCUCGACAGGGAAGGUCCAUUUCUCCGUGUCUCUGUAAAUUCCUGCAUCUGUUGCUCUUGAAAAGGCAUAAUCUUUUUACAAAAGAAAAAUAAGGAUCAGUAAAGCUCUGAAGAAUGCGACACGGUCUCCUGAGUGUUUACUGAAGCCAUUAAUGUUUAGCUCUCUGCAUAAGCUGGAUAGAGACAUUCAGCUGAGGGCAGAAGACCUAUCCUUACACUUUGAUACAGUUACAACCUAUUACACCAUCUGCUCAAAAAUGUGUAAAUUAAAACUUCAUGAACAAAAUAACUGACAGACAUUAAAAUGUGAAGAUUUGUUUUUCCCUUGAAGUCAGUUUGUCCUCAUGUAAACGUGUUCAUGCACAUUCAAGUGUUUUCUUCAAACAGGACACCUGACCAACAAACAUGUAAUAGUAUUUGUACAGUAACAGUAUCCAGAGUACUUUAGGUUCGAAUCACCGCUGUGGUUGUUUGGGCUCAGCCAAACAGGUGUGGUUCACAUCCAUGUGUGUCCACUCAUGAUAAGGACACACAUGUAGUCCUGCAUUCACUUCAUCAAUGAAUCCGAGUGAACGUUUGUCCUGCAUUAACUCUGUGGGGUCUUCACCUCACAGUAACACGUGUGUUUGUUAACUGAUGCUAUAUGAAUAAAAGUGAACUACAGG
Molecule: long non-coding RNA, 1247 nt
Organism: Oreochromis aureus
Lineage: Eukaryota; Metazoa; Chordata; Actinopteri; Cichliformes; Cichlidae
Source: Ensembl